CAGUCGUACCGGCGGAUAAUCAGCCUUUCGGGUGCGAUUCUGUGGGGCGUGAGGAGCUUAACCGCCUUCAUGUUUUGCAUAUUCGUGCACAUUUGGUGUACUUGUCCGUGUGGUGGGUUAACAUCAAUUUCGGUCGUCAUAAAAUGAUUAGAGGAAUGUAGCUUUGGUCUCGUAUCGAAGUGUUAUAGACUCUGGUAGAUGUGACGAUUGGGAUUGAGGAUUGCAACGGAUACCCCUUCGGGGGCUACCCGUCUGAUCUCUGAAGGUUGCUCCGGUGCCGAAAGCGUGCUUACGGUCAUCGAAAGUGAUUUUCAAAAGGUUAGAACGGGUUAAAUUCGUUAAGGAUGUUGACGUAAUGGCUUUAAACGA
This 369-nucleotide ribosomal RNA is filed under the name uncultured Glomeraceae. RNAcentral describes it as "partial large subunit ribosomal RNA". Lineage: Eukaryota; Fungi; Glomeromycota; Glomeromycetes; Glomerales; Glomeraceae. The record is from RNAcentral.